UGUAGGUCAGUGUAAGUCCAAAGUUAACACCUCAUUUGAACCUUUAAAAGUAAAGUGGUUGAAAUGCUUCAGAUUUAAAUGUUACCUUUUAUUUAAAGAACACCAGUAGAGUUGGAGUUAGUGUGGCUUACUGUGUAACCUUUCAACUUUGGAGCAAAGUGAGGACGCAGUGGUGUCUGCCUAGAUUACUGCUUGAAAAAGGGCCUCAUUCAAUUAGCUGCAGCUCUGCAACAACCACGGAAAACUGGCCAAUCAGUAUGCAUUAAUUAAGCCAACUUAACCAACUAUGCCCUUGGCAAGUGCUCAGGAAGACUCAAGCAACCUGAUGUCAUUUAGAAGCACUUUGAUUUAAAGCUUGGUUUUGAGCCUCUAAAGGGCUGUUUUGUUCUCUGCCUGGUAUGUAGAGAGCUCAACAGUGCAGUGGAGACUACUCUCACAACACUCUGUAUGGAAACAACACUCACAGUGAUCCACAGAGGCCUUGUUGCAAUACGGCCCCACAAGGACAGUGUAUCGUCAGAAAUUGUGAACAGUAACCAGAGUUGUAAAUUGUACUCUGGAGGUUUUAAUGUAGAUUUUGUUUUAGAAUGUGUAAGCGUUCUGGUUUGGAUGUGAUGUUUUUAUUUUUAAACAUCUUUUGGAGUAGUAAUAGCCCUUACAGAAAAGUCACAUACUGUAAAUGUCACAUCUGAAUAAAUUGACAUGUAAAACA
Molecule: long non-coding RNA, 712 nt
Organism: Clarias gariepinus (North African catfish)
Lineage: Eukaryota; Metazoa; Chordata; Actinopteri; Siluriformes; Clariidae
Exons: 2
Source: RefSeq, a predicted model, not a curated record